AGCACGAGAAAGCUGGUUAUCUGAGCUUUCUUUUACAAUUUUUUGGGUGUCAAAAUAUGAAAAAUUUAAGAAACCAGAGAAGAAAUUAAAAAAAUUGUACCAACUAGCCCCACCCUCCCCUACUAGCGACUCUCAGGGCUUAUUGCAUUACCUGUUAUUUUAUACGAAAGAUUACUGAAAUAUACUAAUUUUUCAGAAAUGAUCAAAAUCAAUAUAGGUUUAUUUUAGUUUUUACAAUAAUGCAUCUUUGACCUUCUGUCUGUGUAGAACAAUGACCAUUAUAGGCUGCUUGUUUGUUGUUAUGUUGUUGUUGUCUACUUCUAUUCUUUUAUUGCAUUUUACUACUUUAAAAAGUUGAAACUCUAUCAGCCAAUUGAUUUUCAAGACAACGUUUCAUGAAAAAACGUAUGUAGAAAAAUUUACACAUAAGAAAAAGGAAAAAAAAAUGCCCGACUUAUUUCUACAAUAUGUAAUUUUUCACAAAAUUCAGUACUACUCGAUGCCUCUUCAGAUUUUUAUUGGAGUUGGCGGCCACUUUAGCAAUGUAAAUCUAUGUGCGUAAAGCUGUGUGUUAUACGUUGUUACCUGUGUCUACCUUGUCCUAUAAUUUCCAUUGCACGUCAUCAACGUAACGACAGCUGAGCUCCUUCUUAUAUAAUCCACUUCUAAAUUAUCCUGACAAUGGCCCCAGUCUUCAUCAAUGUUUACCAUCUAACGUAGUUCAUGCAAAUUUGGCAUUCGUUUGAAUGACAGCUUUAAAAAUAAUCUUUUUAUGCUCCCUAUCUAUGAACAAUGACACGUGGAUAAAAAAAGUCUUUUCCAUGUCUAUCCUUAAACCCUCAUAGAGGUGCCAACCUGAGCAAAAAAAAUGUGUAAAACGAGUAAAAGUCUAAGACAUUAGAAAUAGAACGAUUGUUUCUACUCUCUUUAAGGAGCUGAAUUGUAGAAAAUUUUUCCGUCGCCCUUUAGGUCUUUCUUGAGAAACAUUUAAAACACAAUGUUUCAGCGAGAUUGGCAACGCCACUCGUCAUGAGAGCACUUGAUGCAAAAUAUUCUGGAAAUUUCAAAUUGAGGUUUCAGGGUUGCUAUAACGUCAGAAGGCUACAAUGUCUACUAUCCAAGAAAGUUUCAAAGAAAAGCAAUAUUUUGUGAAUUUUUGGUGAUUUUCUUGAUAUCACCAAUCAAGUGGAGAAAACAGUAAUGUUUCAUAACUUUUACAUUACUGUCUUGCCUUAGAAACUGUAAUCAUAUGCAAUAGCCCAAACAUCCAUUAUCACACAAAAAAACUGAAGCAUGAAAGAAGAUCACACGAAUUCUAGACUGAUGUGGGUGCCAAAAAUAACAAAAAAAAAAAGCCUGCGGUCAAUCAACCUAAUGAAUG
Long non-coding RNA from Daphnia magna, 1381 nucleotides. RefSeq lists it as uncharacterized. The transcript is spliced from 2 exons. NCBI's taxonomy places the organism in Eukaryota, Metazoa, Arthropoda, Branchiopoda, Diplostraca, Daphniidae. The record is from RefSeq and is a predicted model, not a curated record.